GACGUAGGGCGCGAGCGUUGUCCGGAAUCAUUGGGCGUAAAGCGCGUGUAGGCGGUCCGGUAAGUCCGCUGUGAAAGUCGGGGGCUCAACCCUCGAAAGCCGGUGGAAACUGUCGGGCUAGAGUGCGGAAGAGGCGAGUGGAAUUCCUGGUGUAGCGGCGAAAUGCGCAGAUAUCAGGAGGAACACCAAUUGCGAAGGCAGCUCGCUGGGACGUUACUGACGCUGAGACGCGAAAGCGUGGGGAGCAAACAGG
This 253-nucleotide ribosomal RNA is filed under the name uncultured bacterium. Its description in RNAcentral is "partial 16S ribosomal RNA". It matches the Rfam family "Bacterial small subunit ribosomal RNA", at positions 524 to 776 of the family's 1533-position model. The record is from RNAcentral.